This 386-nucleotide ribosomal RNA is filed under the name uncultured bacterium. Its description in RNAcentral is "bacterial SSU rRNA". It matches the Rfam family "Bacterial small subunit ribosomal RNA", at positions 28 to 416 of the family's 1533-position model. The record is from RNAcentral.
GACGAACGCUGGCGGCGUGCUUAACACAUGCAAGUCGAGCGGUAAGGCCCUUUCGGGGGUACACGAGCGGCGAACGGGUGAGUAACACGUGGGUAACCUGCCCUGUACCCUGGGAUAAGCCUUGGAAACGAGGUCUAAUACCGGAUAUGACCUGCUCUCGCAUGGGGGUGGGUGGAAAGUUUUGGCGGUGCAGGAUGGACCCGCGGCCUAUCAGCUUGUUGGUGGGGUGAUGGCCUACCAAGGCGACGACGGGUAGCCGGCCUGAGGGGGCGACCGGCCACACUGGGACUGAGACACGGCCCAGACUCCUACGGGAGGCAGCAGUGGGGAAUAUUGCACAAUGGGCGAAAGCCUGAUGCAGCGACGCCGCGUGAGGGAUGACGGCC